Molecule: ribosomal RNA, 500 nt
Filed under: uncultured eukaryote
Lineage: Eukaryota
Description: bacterial SSU rRNA
Rfam family: Eukaryotic small subunit ribosomal RNA
Source: RNAcentral
UAUGAGUGGUGGUGCAUGGCCGUUCUUAGUUGGUGGAGUGAUUUGUCUGGUUAAUUCCGUUAACGAACGAGACCUUAGCCUACUAACUAGUCGCGACAAUGCCAUUGUCUGCGACUUCUUAGAGGGACUUUGCAAGCAACUGCAAGGAAGUUUGAGGCAAUAACAGGUCUGUGAUGCCCUUAGAUGUCCUGGGCCGCACGCGUGCUACACUGACACAUACAGCGAGUAUCACCAGCUCCGUGAGGCAGCUGGUAACCAGUAAUAUGUGUCGUGCUGGGGAUAGAUCUUUGGAAUUUUUGAUCUUGAACGAGGAAUGCCUAGUAAGCGCAGGUCAUCAGCCUGCGUUGAUUAAGUCCCUGCCCUUUGUACACACCGCCCGUCGCUCCUACCGAUUUCGAGUGGUCCGGUGAACCCCUUUGGACCGAGGGCGCCCUUCGUGCGCCCUUUUGGGAGAAGUCGGAGGAAAACCACAUCACUAGAGGAAGAAAAGUCGAGACAGU